GAUGAACGCUGGCGGCGUGCCUAAUACAUGCAAGUCGAGCGAACGGACGAGAAGCUUGCUUCUCUGAUGUUAGCGGCGGACGGGUGAGUAACACGUGGAUAACCUACCUAUAAGACUGGGAUAACUUCGGGAAACCGGAGCUAAUACCGGAUAAUAUUUUGAACCGCAUGGUUCAAAAGUGAAAGACGGUCUUGCUGUCACUUAUAGAUGGAUCCGCGCUGCAUUAGCUAGUUGGUAAGGUAACGGCUUACCAAGGCAACGAUGCAUAGCCGACCUGAGAGGGUGAUCGGCCACACUGGAACUGAGACACGGUCCAGACUCCUACGGGAGGCAGCAGUAGGGAAUCUUCCGCAAUGGGCGAAAGCCUGACGGAGCAACGCCGCGUGAGUGAUGAAGGUCUUCGGAUCGUAAAACUCUGUUAUUAGGGAAGAACAUAUGUGUAAGUAACUGUGCACAUCUUGACGGUACCUAAUCAGAAAGCCACGGCUAACUACGUGCCAGCAGCCGCGGUAAUACGUAGGUGGCAAGCGUUAUCCGGAAUUAUUGGGCGUAAAGCGCGCGUAGGCGGUUUUUUAAGUCUGAUGUGAAAGCCCACGGCUCAACCGUGGAGGGUCAUUGGAAACUGGAAAACUUGAGUGCAGAAGAGGAAAGUGGAAUUCCAUGUGUAGCGGUGAAAUGCGCAGAGAUAUGGAGGAACACCAGUGGCGAAGGCGACUUUCUGGUCUGUAACUGACGCUGAUGUGCGAAAGCGUGGGGAUCAAACAGGAUUAGAUACCCUGGUAGUCCACGCCGUAAACGAUGAGUGCUAAGUGUUAGGGGGUUUCCGCCCCUUAGUGCUGCAGCUAACGCAUUAAGCACUCCGCCUGGGGAGUACGACCGCAAGGUG
Molecule: ribosomal RNA, 886 nt
Filed under: uncultured Staphylococcus sp.
Lineage: Bacteria; Bacillati; Bacillota; Bacilli; Caryophanales; Staphylococcaceae
Description: bacterial SSU rRNA
Rfam family: Bacterial small subunit ribosomal RNA
Source: RNAcentral